RNAcentral lists this long non-coding RNA (407 nucleotides) under Olea europaea subsp. europaea. The record is from RNAcentral. Lineage: Eukaryota; Viridiplantae; Streptophyta; Magnoliopsida; Lamiales; Oleaceae.
UACAAGGUGUCCAAUUCUUGACUAAUCCUUGGGUCUGUGAUCCGGCCCCUCUUCACACAGUCCAGUUAACUGCGGGAUGUGCUUCCAACUAGCCAGGGUUCGAGCCCUUCCCAACUGAUCUGUCAAAGUGCCUAACAAGCCUAUUCAAGUUGCACCUUGCCUUCCAAGAUUUCUCUUGCCUUUCAAGAAUAAAUCCUUGUCUUUCAAGAGCCCAUGAAUCGAACUCACGACCUCUAAUCUGCCAGCACUGAAAGAGCCCGUCCUUUGCCAGUGGAGAAGUGCCCCGGGGGGUUUCUUUUAAUUGUAUUCAGUAUUCUAAAAAGCAUAAAAUGUGUUGUAAGAUCAAGUUUCAAGCUUUAUGAACUUAAGUGUUAUUUUAACUAUAUUUUUAAUAAUUAUAGAACUAG